This 263-nucleotide ribosomal RNA is filed under the name uncultured bacterium. Its description in RNAcentral is "partial 16S ribosomal RNA". It matches the Rfam family "Bacterial small subunit ribosomal RNA", at positions 793 to 1055 of the family's 1533-position model. The record is from RNAcentral.
GUCCACGCCGUAAACGAUGUCGACUAGCCGCCGGGCCCUUAUGGGGCUAGGUGGCGCAGCCAACGCAUUAAGUCGACCGCCUGGGGAGUACGGCCGCAAGGUUAAAACUCAAAUGAAUUGACGGGGGCCCGCACAAGCGGUGGAGCAUGUGGUUUAAUUCGAUGCAACGCGAAGAACCUUACCUGCCCUUGACAUCCUGGGAACUUGCCGGAGACGGCUUGGUGCCUUCGGGAACCCAGAGACAGGUGCUGCAUGGCUGUCGU